RNAcentral lists this ribosomal RNA (587 nucleotides) under uncultured bacterium. RNAcentral describes it as "partial 16S ribosomal RNA". It matches the Rfam family "Bacterial small subunit ribosomal RNA", at positions 355 to 1363 of the family's 1533-position model. The record is from RNAcentral.
UGGGGAAUUUUGGACAAUGGGCGAAAGCCUGAUCCAGCAAUGCCGCGUGUGUGAAGAAGGCCUUCGGGUUGUAAAGCACUUUUGUCCGGAAAGAAAUCCUUGGCUCUAAUACAGUCGGGGGAUGACGGUACCGGAAGAAUAAGCACCGGCUAACUACGUGCCAGCAGCCGCGGUAAUACGUAGGGUGCAAGCGUUAAUCGGAAUUACUGGGCGUAAAGCGUGCGCAGGCGGUUUGCUAAGACCGAUGUGAAAUCCCCGGGCUCAACCUGGGAACUGCAUUGGUGACUGGCAGGCUAGAGUAUGGCAGAGGGGGGUAGAAUUCCACGUGUAGCAGUGAAAUGCGUAGAGAUGUGGAGGAAUACCGAUGGCGAAGGCAGCCCCCUGGGCCAAUACUGACGCUCAUGCACGAAAGCGUGGGGAGCAAACAGGAUUAGAUACCCUGGUAGUCCACGCCCUAAAACGAUGUCAACUAGUUGUUGGGGAUUCAUUUCCUUAGUAACGUAGCUAACGCGUGAAGUUGACCGCCUGGGGAGUACGGUCGCAAGAUUAAAACUCAAAUGAAUUGACGGGGUCAUAGCUGUUUCCCU